CCUGUCGAAAGACGGGCUAAUACCGGAUACGUCCUGUGCUUUUCGAAGCACAGGGGAAAGAUGGGGAUCCGUAAGGACCUAUCACCCUUGGAUGGGCCCGCGGCCUAUCAGCUAGUUGGUGAGGUAAUGGCUCACCAAGGCUAAGACGGGUAGCUGGUCUGAGAGGAUGGUCAGCCACACUGGAACUGAGACACUGUCCAGACACCUACGGGUGGCUGCAGUCGAGAAUCUUUCGCAAUGGGGGAAACCCUGACGACGCGACGCCGCGUGGAGGAUGAAGGCCUUCGGGUUGUAAACUCCUGUCAGCAGGGGAGAACAAGCUUUUGAUGAAUAAUCGAGAGCUUUGACAGUACCUGCAGAGGAAGCCACGGCUAACUCUGUGCCAGCAGCCGCGGUAAUACAGAGGUGGCAAGCGUUGUUCGGAUUUAUUGGGCGUAAAGGGUCCGUAGUCGGCCUGGAAAGUUGGAUGUGAAAUCCCACAGCUUAACUGUGGAACUGCAUUCAAAACUUCUAGGCUCGAGUGUGAUAGGGGUAAUGGGAAUUCCCGGUGU
RNAcentral lists this ribosomal RNA (551 nucleotides) under uncultured organism. RNAcentral describes it as "bacterial SSU rRNA". It matches the Rfam family "Bacterial small subunit ribosomal RNA", at positions 147 to 676 of the family's 1533-position model. The record is from RNAcentral.